GAGUUUGAUCGUGGCUCAGAAUGAACGCUGGCGGCGUGCCUAACACAUGCAAGUCGAACGAGAAAGGGUGCUUCGGCACCCGAGUAAAGUGGCGCACGGGUGAGUAACGCGUAGGCAACCUGCCCCUGUAUUUGGGAUAACAGAGCGAAAGCGCUGCUAAUACCGGAUACGAUCCAUAGGCGGGAGUUUAUGGAUGAAAGUCAGCCUCUCGGAGAAGCUGGUGUACGGGGAUGGGCCUGCGUCCUAUCAGCUAGUUGGUGAGGUAACGGCUCACCAAGGCGACGACGGGUAGCUGGUCUGAGAGGAUGAUCAGCCACACUGGCACUGGAACACGGGCCAGACUCCUACGGGAGGCAGCAGUGAGGAAUUUUGCGCAAUGGCCGCAAGGCUGACGCAGCAACGCCGCGUGGGUGAAGAAGGCCUUCGGGUCGU
This 432-nucleotide ribosomal RNA is filed under the name uncultured delta proteobacterium. RNAcentral's name for it is "bacterial SSU rRNA". It matches the Rfam family "Bacterial small subunit ribosomal RNA", at positions 9 to 426 of the family's 1533-position model. The record is from RNAcentral. Lineage: Bacteria; Deltaproteobacteria.